GAUGAACGCUGGCGGCGUGCCUAAUACAUGCAAGUCGAGCGAACAGACGAGGAGCUUGCUCCUCUGACGUUAGCGGCGGACGGGUGAGUAACACGUGGAUAACCUACCUAUAAGACUGGGAUAACUUCGGGAAACCGGAGCUAAUACCGGAUAAUAUAUUGAACCGCAUGGUUCAAUAGUGAAAGACGGUUUUGCUGUCCCUUAUAGAUGGAUCCGCGCCGGAUUAGCUAGUUGGUAAGGUAACGGCUUACCAAGGCAACGAUGCGUAGCCGACCUGAGAGGGUGAUCGGCCACACUGGAACUGAGACACGGUCCAGACUCCUACGGGAGGCAGCAGUAGGGAAUCUUCCGCAAUGGGCGAAAGCCUGACGGAGCAACGCCGCGUGAGUGAUGAAGGUCUUCGGAUCGUAAAACUCUGUUAUUAGGGAAGAACAAAUGUGUAAGUAACUAUGCACGUCUUGACGGUACCUAAUCAGAAAGCCACGGCUAACUACGUG
RNAcentral lists this ribosomal RNA (497 nucleotides) under uncultured bacterium. RNAcentral describes it as "partial 16S ribosomal RNA". It matches the Rfam family "Bacterial small subunit ribosomal RNA", at positions 28 to 507 of the family's 1533-position model. The record is from RNAcentral.